Molecule: ribosomal RNA, 550 nt
Filed under: uncultured bacterium
Lineage: Bacteria
Description: bacterial SSU rRNA
Rfam family: Bacterial small subunit ribosomal RNA
Source: RNAcentral
UGGGGAAUCUUCCGCAAUGGACGAAAGUCUGACGGAGCAACGCCGCGUGAGUGAAGAAGGUCUUCGGAUCGUAAAGCUCUGUUGUACGGGACGAAUGUUGGAGGGGUGAAUAAUGCCAUCAAAUGACGGUACUGUACGAGGAAGCCACGGCUAACUACGUGCCAGCAGCCGCGGUAAUACGUAGGUGGCGAGCGUUGUCCGGAAUUAUUGGGCGUAAAGGGAGCGCAGGUGGGAAGGUAAGUCUGUUUUAAAAGCGUCGGGCUCAACCCGAUGAGGGAACAGAAACUAUUUUUCUUGAGUGCAGGAGAGGAAAGCGGAAUUCCUAGUGUAGCGGUGAAAUGCGUAGAUAUUAGGAGGAACACCAGUGGCGAAGGCGGCUUUCUGGACUGUAACUGACACUGAGGCUCGAAAGCCAGGGGAGCGAACGGGAUUAGAUACCCCGGUAGUCCUGGCCGUAAACGAUGGAUACUAGGUGUAGGAGGUAUCGACCCCUUCUGUGCCGGAGUUAACGCAAUAAGUAUCCCGCCUGGGGAGUACGAUCGCAAGAUUG